AAGAACCCCGGGAGGGGAGUGAAAUAGAACCUGAAACCGCAUACAUACAAACAGUAGGAGCCUCGUUAAGGGGUGACUGCGUACCUUUUGCAUAAUGGGUCAGCGACUUACGUUUAAUGGCAAGCUUAACCGAUUAGGGGAGGCGUAGCGAAAGCGAGUUCGAAUAGAGCGAUUUGAGUCGUUAGGCGUAGACCCGAAACCAGAUGAUCUAUCCAUGGUCAGGUUGAAGAUGUGGUAACACACAUUGGAGGACCGAACCGACUAGUGUUGCAAAAUUAGCGGAUGAACUGUGGAUAGGGGUGAAAGGCUAAACAAAUCUGGAGAUAGCUGGUUCUCCCCGAAAACUAUUGAGGUAGUGCCUCGUGUAUAACUCCAGGGGGUAGAGCACUGUUAUGGCUAGGGGGACAUGGCGUCUUACCAAACCAUGGCAAACUCCGAAUACUUGGAAGUUGAGCACGGGAGACAGAGCACCGGGUGCUAACGUCCGGACUCAAGAGGGAAACAACCCAGACCGCCGGCUAAGGUCCCUAAUAUUGUCUAAGUGGAAAACGAAGUGGAAAGGCUAAAACAGUCAGGAAGUUGGCUUAGAAGCAGCCAUCCUUUAAAGAAAGCGUAAUAGCUCACUGAUCGAGUCUUUCUGCGCGGAAGAUGUAACGGGGCUAAGACAAUAACCGAAGCCGCGGAUUCACACGUAAGUGUGAGUGGUAGGGGAGCGUUCUGUAAGCCUGCGAAGGUGGCUUGUAAAGGCUGCUGGAGGUAUCAGAAGUGCGAAUGCUGACAUGAGUAACGUUAAAGUGGGUGAAAAGCCCACUCGCCGUAAGCCCAAGGUUUCCUGCUCUACGUUCAUCGGAGCAGGGUGAGUCGGCCCCUAAGGUGAGGCUGAUAAGCGUAACUGAUGGGAACAAGGUUAAUAUUCCUUGACCGCCGUUGAGUGCGAAGGGGGGACGGAGUAUUGAAGAUCAUCCGGGUGUUGGAUAUCCCGGUUUGCGCGCGUAGGAGGCUGAUAGGCAAAUCCGUCAGCGAAUCUCCGAGGCAAAGCAUCGAGACCUUUUAGGUCGAAGUGAUUGGAUGUGCUCCCAGGAAAAGCCUCUAAGCUCCAGCUCAACGGGACCGUACCGCAAACCGACACUGGUGGGCGAGCUGAAUAUGCUCAGGCGCUUGAGAGAACUCAGGAGAAGGAACUCGGCAAAUUGACACCGUAACUUCGGGAUAAGGUGUGCCUUUGUAGUGUGAAGGAAGAAACAUCCGGAGCAUGAAGAGGUCUCAGAGAAUUGGUGGCUGCGACUGUUUACUAAAAACACAGCACUCUGCAAAGACGAAAGUCGACGUAUAGGGUGUGAUGCCUGCCCGGUGCUGGAAGAUUAAUUGAUGGGGUGCAAGCUCCUGAUCGAAGUCCCAGUAAACGGCGGCCGUAACUAUAACGGUCCUAAGGUAGCGAAAUUCCUUGUCGGGCAAGUUCCGACCUGCACGAAUGGCAUAACGAUGGCCACACUGUCUCCUCCUGAGACUCAGUGAAGUUGAAGUGUUUGUGAUGAUGCAAUCUCCCCGCGGCUAGACGGAAAGACCCCAUGAACCUUUACUGUAGCUUUGCAUUGGACUUUGAACCGAUCUGUGUAGGAUAGGCGGGAGGCUGAGAAGCGGUGACGCUAGUCAUCGUGGAGCCGUCCUUGAAAUACCGCCCUGAUUUGUUUGAGGUUCUAACCUAGGUCAGUGAUCCUGUCGUGGGACCGUGCAUGGUAGGCAGUUUGACUGGGGCGGUCUCCUCCUAAAGGGUAACGGAGGAGUACGAAGGUACGCUAGGUACGGUCGGAAAUCGUGCUGAUAGUGCAAAGGCAAAAGCGUGCUUGACUGCGAGACCCACAAGUCGAGCAGAUACGAAAGUAGGUCUUAGUGAUCCGGUGGCUCUGUAUGGAAGGGCCAUCGCUCAACGGAUAAAAGGUACUCUGG
RNAcentral lists this ribosomal RNA (1947 nucleotides) under human gut metagenome. Its description in RNAcentral is "bacterial LSU rRNA". It matches the Rfam family "Bacterial large subunit ribosomal RNA", at positions 519 to 2471 of the family's 2925-position model. The record is from RNAcentral.